GUUUGUUUUGUCAACACAUAUACUAAUAUUAAAACAGUACAUAAAUGACUAGCAUGAAUCCUGUACAAAGAUUGUAUGAAAAUUUGUGAGGAGUUCCACAUUUUU
This is a small nuclear RNA of Manis pentadactyla (Chinese pangolin), 105 nucleotides long. The record is from RefSeq and is a predicted model, not a curated record. NCBI's taxonomy places the organism in Eukaryota, Metazoa, Chordata, Mammalia, Pholidota, Manidae.